CGGGUGCAAGGCAUUUGUCUUUAUAACUUCUGCAGACCACCGUUGGUUUAAGGCCUGUCCAUUCCUCAGGACUUCUCCACGGAGACCUUGCCUGGCCGUAGUCCCACAGGAAUGAGAUCAGAACUGGCCUUUGGAGUGCGAUUUUCAAUACACCAGCUUCCCUUGAACCCUGAGCAGAGAUGUGGGGAGCAAGGGGGGAGCCCAUGGGGCUCACACAGACGAAGCCUGCCAAGAAGGGAUUAUUCCUGGGAAUCCACACACUGCUCUUUUGGUAACCAGCACACACACAGUCCUUGGCAGCCACAAACCUGGGAGCGUUCCAGGAGCAUCUCGGGGUGGCUCCAGCUCAGGAAGGCACGGAUAUCAGUGGUGCAUUACGGAGAAGACAAAUGUGUUUUCCAGCAAGGCUGCGGUCGUCUGCCGGCCUCCCGAGGCUCUCCCGCGUGGCAAGAAGUGCUAACGAAGAAUGCAAUCCCUGACCUUGAUUAA
Molecule: long non-coding RNA, 489 nt
Filed under: Anas platyrhynchos platyrhynchos (common mallard)
Lineage: Eukaryota; Metazoa; Chordata; Aves; Anseriformes; Anatidae
Description: lncRNA (ENSAPLG00000031070.1)
Source: RNAcentral